Molecule: ribosomal RNA, 565 nt
Filed under: uncultured bacterium
Lineage: Bacteria
Description: bacterial SSU rRNA
Rfam family: Bacterial small subunit ribosomal RNA
Source: RNAcentral
UCCUACGGGAGGCAGCAGUGAGGAAUAUUGCGCAAUGGGCGAAAGCCUGACGCAGCAACGCCGCGUGAAUGAUGAAGUUUUUCGGAAUGUAAAGUUUAGUCACCAGAGAUGAUAAUGACAGUAUCUGGAGAGGAAACCCCGGCUAAGUACGUGCCAGCAGCCGCGGUAAGACGUGCGGGGUAAGCGUUAUCCGGAAUCACUGGGCAUAAAGAGUGUGUAGGCGGAAAUGUGUGUCAGGUGUGAAAGGCUUUGGCCUAACCAAAGUAAGCACUUGAAACUGCAUUUCUAGAGGAUAGUAGAGGAAAGCGGAACUUACGGUGUAGCGGUGAAAUGUGUAGAUAUCGUAAGGAACACCAGUUGCGAAGGCUGCUUUCUGGGCUAUUUCUGACGCUAAAGCACGAAAGCGUGGGUAGCGAACGGGAUUAGAUACCCCGGUAGUCCACGCCGUAAACGUUGUUCACUAAGUGUAGGGAGAAUCGAUCCUCUCUGUGCCACAGAUAAUUCUUUAAGUGAACCGCCUGGGAAGUACGACCGCAAGGUUAAAACUCAAAGGAAUUGACGGGGA